RNAcentral lists this ribosomal RNA (335 nucleotides) under uncultured bacterium. Its description in RNAcentral is "bacterial SSU rRNA". It matches the Rfam family "Bacterial small subunit ribosomal RNA", at positions 1 to 334 of the family's 1533-position model. The record is from RNAcentral.
AGUAGACGUUCAGAGUUUGAUCCUGGCUCAGGACGAACGCUGGCGGCGUGCUUAACACAUGCAAGUCGAACGGUAAGGCCCUUUCGGGGGUACACGAGUGGCGAACGGGUGAGUAACACGUGAGUAACCUGCCCCUAACUUUGGGAUAACGCUUGGAAACAGGUGCUAAUACCGGAUACGAGCUUCCUUGGCAUCUUGGAAGUUUGAAAGCUCCGGCGGUUGGGGAUGGACUCGCGGCCUAUCAGCUUGUUGGUGAGGUAGUGGCUCACCAAGGCUUCGACGGGUAGCCGGCCUGAGAGGGUGACCGGCCACAUUGGGACUGAGAUACGGCCCAA